RNAcentral lists this ribosomal RNA (253 nucleotides) under uncultured bacterium. RNAcentral's name for it is "partial 16S ribosomal RNA". It matches the Rfam family "Bacterial small subunit ribosomal RNA", at positions 524 to 776 of the family's 1533-position model. The record is from RNAcentral.
UACAGAGGGUGCGAGCGUUAAUCGGAAUUACUGGGCGUAAAGCGUGCGUAGACGGUUAUCUAAGUCGGAUGUGAAAGCCCCGGGCUCAACCUGGGAAUUGCAUUCGAGACUGAAUAGCUAGGGUACGGUAGAGGGAAGUGGAAUUUCCGGUGUAACGGUGAAAUGCGUAGAUAUCGGAAGGAACAUCAGUGGCGAAAGCGACUUCCUGGACCAGUACCGACGUUCAGGCACGAAAGCGUGGGGAGCAAACAGG